RNAcentral lists this ribosomal RNA (896 nucleotides) under uncultured bacterium. Its description in RNAcentral is "bacterial SSU rRNA". It matches the Rfam family "Bacterial small subunit ribosomal RNA", at positions 38 to 929 of the family's 1533-position model. The record is from RNAcentral.
CCCUUCAGGCCUAACACAUGCAAGUCGAGCGGCAGCGCGGUAGCAAUACUGGCGGCGAGCGGCGAACGGGUGAGUAAUGCUUCGGAAUCUUCCUAGUAGUGGGGAAUAACCUGGGGAAACUCAGGCUAAUACCGCAUACGAACCAAGGUUGAAAGCGGGGGAUCGCAAGACCUCGCGCUAUUAGAUGAGCCGAAGUCGGAUUAGCUAGUUGGUGGGGUAAAGGCCUACCAAGGCGACGAUCCGUAGCUGGUCUGAGAGGACGACCAGCCACACUGGGACUGAGACACGGCCCAGACUCCUACGGGAGGCAGCAGUGGGGAAUAUUGGACAAUGGGGGCAACCCUGAUCCAGCGACGCCGCGUGUGUGAAGAAGGCCUGCGGGUUGUAAAGCACUUUUAGUGGGGAUGAAAAGCCGAGGGCUAAUACUCUUCGGUCUUGACCUAACCCAAAGAAAAAGCACCGGCUAACUCUGUGCCAGCAGCCGCGGUAAUACAGAGGGUGCAAGCGUUAAUCGGAAUUACUGGGCGUAAAGCGUGCGUAGUCGGUUAUCUAAGUCGGGUGUGAAAUCCCCGGGCUCAACCUGGGAAUUGCAUUCGAUACUGGAUAGCUAGAGUUCGGCAGAGGGAAGCGGAAUUUCUGGUGUAGCGGUGAAAUGCGUAGAUAUCAGAAGGAACAUCAGUGGCGAAAGCGGCUUCCUGGACCAGAACUGACGAUCAGGCACGAAAGCGUGGGGAGCAAACAGGAUUAGAUACCCUGGUAGUCCACGCCAUAAACGAUGACAACUAGACGUUGGGAGGGUAAGCCUCACAGUGUCGCAGCUAACGCGUUAAGUUGUCCGCCUGGGGAGUACGGCCGCAAGGUUGAAACUCAAAGGAACUGACGGGGACCCGCACAAG